GAUGAACGCUGGCGGCGUGCCUAAUACAUGCAAGUCGAGCGAACAGAUAAGGAGCUUGCUCCUUUGACGUUAGCGGCGGACGGGUGAGUAACACGUGGGUAACCUACCUAUAAGACUGGGAUAACUUCGGGAAACCGGAGCUAAUACCGGAUAACAUUUGGAACCGCAUGGUUCUAAAGUGAAAGAUGGUUUUGCUAUCACUUAUAGAUGGACCCGCGCCGUAUUAGCUAGUUGGUAAGGUAACGGCUUACCAAGGCAACGAUACGUAGCCGACCUGAGAGGGUGAUCGGCCACACUGGAACUGAGACACGGUCCAGACUCCUACGGGAGGCAGCAGUAGGGAAUCUUCCGCAAUGGGCGAAAGCCUGACGGAGCAACGCCGCGUGAGUGAUGUAGGGUUUCGGCUCGUAAAACUCUGUUAUUAGGGAAGAACAAACGUGUAAGUAACUGUGCACGUCUUGACGGUACCUAAUCAGAAAGCCACGGCUAACUACGUG
Molecule: ribosomal RNA, 497 nt
Filed under: uncultured bacterium
Lineage: Bacteria
Description: partial 16S ribosomal RNA
Rfam family: Bacterial small subunit ribosomal RNA
Source: RNAcentral